This 253-nucleotide ribosomal RNA is filed under the name uncultured bacterium. RNAcentral's name for it is "partial 16S ribosomal RNA". It matches the Rfam family "Bacterial small subunit ribosomal RNA", at positions 524 to 776 of the family's 1533-position model. The record is from RNAcentral.
UACGUAGGGUGCAAGCGUUAAUCGGAAUUACUGGGCGUAAAGCGUGCGCAGGCGGUUCGCUAAGACAGAUGUGAAGUCCCCGGGCUUAACCUGGGAACUGCAUUUGUGACUGGCGGGCUAGAGUAUGGCAGAGGGGGGUAGAAUUCCACGUGUAGCAGUGAAAUGCGUAGAGAUGUGGAGGAACACCGAUGGCGAAGGCAGCCCCCUGGGCUAACACUGACGCUCAUGCACGAAAGCGUGGGGAGCAAACAGG